UAUGGUAGUUAUAGCUGUGGGGAAACACCUCUUUCCAUUCCGAACAGAGAAGUUAAGCCCACAAACGCCGAUGGUGCUAUUUAUAUGGGAGAGUAGGUAACUGCCUUAA
RNAcentral lists this ribosomal RNA (109 nucleotides) under Bacteroides sp. Lineage: Bacteria; Pseudomonadati; Bacteroidota; Bacteroidia; Bacteroidales; Bacteroidaceae. The record is from RNAcentral.